RNAcentral lists this ribosomal RNA (702 nucleotides) under Rickettsiella sp. 160. RNAcentral describes it as "bacterial SSU rRNA". It matches the Rfam family "Bacterial small subunit ribosomal RNA", at positions 65 to 750 of the family's 1533-position model. Lineage: Bacteria; Pseudomonadati; Pseudomonadota; Gammaproteobacteria; Legionellales; Coxiellaceae. The record is from RNAcentral.
AACGGCUGCCCAGUAAAGAUUUCGGUCUUUACGGGUGGCGAGUGGCGGACGGGUGAGUAAAGCGUAGGAAUCUGUCCUGGAGAGUGGGAUAACCCGAGGAAACUCGGGCUAAUACCGCAUGAUAUCGAGAGAUCAAAGCAGGGGACCCUUCGGGGCCUUGCGCUCUAGGAUGAGCCUACGUCGGAUUAGCUAGUUGGUGGGGGGGGGGACGGCCUACGCAAGCAACCAUACCUGGUUGGACAGAAAGAACGACCACCCUGGCUGGGACAGACACCCCUCACUCAUUCCUAAGGGAGCCAUGGGUAAUCUUGCUUGAUGGAGGAAACCAUGCCCGAUCCAUGCCUGCCGUGUGAGUAAAGACUUCCUUUUGUUUGGAACUUUAUUUGGGGGAGAAAAAAAAUGAAUGAAUAACUGAUUGAUUGGACUGACCCCGCCCAAAAAACACCCGCUAGCUCUGUGUGGGCCACCGCGGUAAUAAAUAGGGAGGGUGCGUUAAUCAAACUGACUGGCUGGACAGGAAGUGUAUGUGGUUGACUAACUUUGAUGUGAAUUCCCUCGCCGUAAUCAGCCAGUUGCUUCGAACACAGAUCGACUAAAUAGAGAUAGAUAGAUGUGUAUGUUCCUUCCUAUCUGUCAAAUGCGUGCAUAUCUGACAGAAAAUACAUCGCUGAGGCGAGCACCUGCAUGUUACUUGACUCUGAC